RNAcentral lists this ribosomal RNA (253 nucleotides) under uncultured bacterium. Its description in RNAcentral is "partial 16S ribosomal RNA". It matches the Rfam family "Bacterial small subunit ribosomal RNA", at positions 524 to 776 of the family's 1533-position model. The record is from RNAcentral.
UACGUAGGGCGCAAGCGUUGUCCGGAAUUAUUGGGCGUAAAGAGCUCGUAGGCGGCCUGUCGCGUCGGACGUGAAAGCUUGGGGCUUAACCCCAGGUCUGCGUUCGAUACGGGCAGGCUAGAGCCAUGUAGAGGGUGGUGGAAUUGCCGGUGUAGUGGUGAAAUGCGUAGAGAUCGGCAGGAACACCAAGGGGGAAGCCAGCCACCUGGGCAUGGGCUGACACUCAAGUGCGAAAGCGUGGGGAGCGAACAGG